Molecule: small RNA, 122 nt
Filed under: Klebsiella variicola
Lineage: Bacteria; Pseudomonadati; Pseudomonadota; Gammaproteobacteria; Enterobacterales; Enterobacteriaceae
Description: RtT RNA
Rfam family: RtT RNA
About the family: This family represents a bacterial cis-regulatory element known as RtT RNA. The exact function of RtT is unknown although it is thought that it may be involved in changing the cellular response in relation to amino acid starvation.
Source: RNAcentral
CCUACGGGGAAGGAUGAGAAGCUUCGACUAAGGUUCGACUCGAGCGCCAGCGAGAGAACGUUGCCGCAGGCAACGGCCCGAAGGGCGAGGAGCGAUAGCGACGAGUUAUCCUUCCCCCUCUA